This is a long non-coding RNA of Numida meleagris (helmeted guineafowl), 577 nucleotides long. The record is from Ensembl. NCBI's taxonomy places the organism in Eukaryota, Metazoa, Chordata, Aves, Galliformes, Numididae.
CUUGGCAUAAUGUUUCCAUUUUUAGUAUAAUAAAAGAUAGCUAAAAAAAUAAAUUACAAUGGCAUGUGCUAUGGCAGUCCUCUGUUCACACAGAUAAUAGUUUCAGUAUGGACCUCAUUCCACCCAGGAAACCGAGUAGGAAUAAUUAAUGUACAUAGGACAUUUUUAUUUAACACUGGAUGUGCUUACUGCGUGGGUGGGGCUGGUAAAUGCCAUUUCUGCCACCAUCAGCAGCGCUCUUUCUGGACUGGGAGGGCUGGCUCUCCAGCCUUUCUGCAGACCCUUCAAGCCCUGGUCCUGUGAGUGCUGCCAGCACUGGGGAGCUAUUUGGCCAUCAGCAGUGAGGAGGGAACAUGCUGAGGUGAGGAUGCAGAGAGAAAGCCUUCAGGCCUGGGCCCCACCGUGGGCGGCUUAUCAUGGACACCUCAUCCUUGGGACCCAGGGCACAGGGGAGGGUGAGAAGGAGACCAGACAGAGGAUGAUUAAGUGGCUUGCCAAAAAUUCACCCUACAGAGCAGAACAGCAAACUGAACAGCAGUGGUACUGUCAUGAGCUUUUCCAUGCACUUAAGUCCUGA